Molecule: long non-coding RNA, 290 nt
Organism: Scaptodrosophila lebanonensis
Lineage: Eukaryota; Metazoa; Arthropoda; Insecta; Diptera; Drosophilidae
Exons: 3
Source: RefSeq, a predicted model, not a curated record
GAAUGGAAAUGGAGGAAAUGCUAACGGACGCAAGUGGCCUUUCGUUUGUUUGCCGCAGAUCAGCAUCAGCUAACGGAAAUAAUCAUGUUGUGCUGCCUGAAAAUACAGAAGAUUGGAACUAUCGGUUGCACCACUGACAGAGUCAGAGCACCACGAGUCAGACGGCGCCCACUGGACUAAAUUACUGCCUGCAGCAAUGCCUCUUUAUUUAAGUAAAACUACUUGUAUGUACAUACGUACAUACCGAUGAUUACAAUUUGUUAAAGUUCAAUAAACAAUAAAUACAUAAA